GGCAGCACCAAACACUAACUGCCCGCCCGAUUAGUACGAGCGAAAGCUUUAAACUCAAAGGACCUGACGGUGACCCACAUCCAUCUAGAGGAGCCUGUUUCAUAAUCGAUAACCCACGUUUAACCCCACCAUUCCUAGCCAAUCAGCCUAUCUACCGCCGUCGUCAGCCCACCCUGUGAGGGCACCAAAGUGAGCAUAACAGUUAAUACACUAAAACGACAGGUCAAAGCGUAGCACACGGAGUGGAGAAAAAUGGGCUACAUUUUCUACAACAGAACACACGGAAGGACGAAAUGAAAAAACGCCUGAAGGCGGAUUUAGCAGUAAGACGGAAUAAAACAUCCACCUGAACAAAGCACUGGGACGCGUACACACCGCCCGUCACCCCCACCCCUCCCCACCACCACACCUCCCUAAACCAAGAGGAAACCCCUAAGGUGGGGUAAGU
Molecule: ribosomal RNA, 448 nt
Filed under: Epictia ater (black blind snake)
Lineage: Eukaryota; Metazoa; Chordata; Lepidosauria; Squamata; Leptotyphlopidae
Description: partial 12S ribosomal RNA
Rfam family: Bacterial small subunit ribosomal RNA
Source: RNAcentral